CCUANGGAGANNGAGGAANGGGANNNNNAAAGGAGGUAGAUGUGGGANAGUUUUUUCCCCAGGAAGGGUGGAAGAAAGGUUUAGGCAUGUAAGUAGAGUGAUAUUAUAUUUGAAAUAAAUUAUGAUAGUAAGGAAGGGGUUGGGGGAUUUUAUAGUGUAGAGGAUAAAGGGUGAGUAAUAUAUGGGUAAUCUAAAUUAGAGUUUGGAAUAAGAGAGAGAAAGGGUGGAUAAUAAUGAAUAAGAGUAAGGGAAGGUAUGUUUGUGAAGUAAAAGAUGGGGAUAUGUAAGGUUUUAUUAUUUGUUGAUGAAGUCGUGAUAUAUCAGCUAAUUGGAGAGGUAACGGCCCACCAAGGCUUUAUUACGGAAGCUGGUCUCAGAGGAUGGUCAACCACAUUGGGACUGACAACCUGCACAGACUCCUACCAGGAGGCCACACUGGG
RNAcentral lists this small RNA (440 nucleotides) under uncultured bacterium. RNAcentral describes it as "bacterial SSU rRNA". The stretch from base 166 to 429 matches the Rfam family "Bacterial small subunit ribosomal RNA", at positions 101 to 347 of the family's 1533-position model. The record is from RNAcentral.